UGUGCCAGCAGCCGCGGUAAUUCCAGCUCCAAUAGCGUAUAUUAAAGUUGUUGCGGUUAAAAAGCUCGUAGUUGGAUCUCAGUUCCGGACCGACGGUACGCCGCCCGGCGUCUACUGUCGGCUUCCGAACGCUAAAGCCCGUCGGCUCGGUCGGGGUGCUCUUCAUCGAGUGUCCCGGGCGGCCGGCAUGUUUACUUUGAAAAAAUUAGGGUGCUCAGAGCAGGCCAAGGCGCCUGAAUACUUGUGCAUGGAAUAAUGGAAUAGGACCUCGGUUCUAUUUUGUUGGUUUUAAGAGCCCGAGGUAAUGAUUAAUAGGAACAGACGGGGGCAUUCGUAUUGCGACGUUAGAGGUGAAAUUCUUGGAUCGUCGCAAGACGAACUACUGCGAAAGCAUUUGCCAAGAAUGUUUUCAUUAAUCAAGAACGAAAGUUAGAGGUUCGAAGGCGAUCAGAUACCGCCCUAGUUCUAACCAUAAACGAUGCUGACUAGCGAUCCGCCGGCGUUAAUCCCAUGACUCGGCGGGCAGCUUCCCGGGAAACCAAAGUCUCUGAGUUCCGGGGGAAGUAUGGUUGCAAAGCUGAAACUUAAAGGAAUUGACGGAAGGGCACCACCAGGAGUGGAGCCUGCGGCUUAAUUUGACUCAACACGGGGAACCUCACCAGGCCCGGACACCGGAAGGAUUGACAGAUUGAGAGCUCUUUCUCGAUUCGGUGGGUGGUGGUGCAUGGCCGUUCUUAGUUGGUGGAGCGAUUUGUCUGGUUAAUUCCGAUAACGAACGAGACUCUGGCCUACUAACUAGUCGUCGGGUUGUCUUGUACCGGCUUCGGUCGGUCGCCCGUCGCAACUUCUUCUUAGAGGGAUCCGCGGCAUCUAGCCGCAAGAGACUGAGCAAUAACAGGUCUGUGAUGCCCAAG
Molecule: ribosomal RNA, 914 nt
Filed under: uncultured eukaryote
Lineage: Eukaryota
Description: SSU rRNA
Rfam family: Eukaryotic small subunit ribosomal RNA
Source: RNAcentral